Molecule: ribosomal RNA, 251 nt
Filed under: uncultured bacterium
Lineage: Bacteria
Description: partial 16S ribosomal RNA
Rfam family: Bacterial small subunit ribosomal RNA
Source: RNAcentral
UACGUAGGUGGCAAGCGUUGUCCGGAUUUACUGGGCGUAAAGAGCGCGCAGGCGGUCGUUCAAGUCGCGUGUGAAAGCCCCCGGCUCAACUGGGGAGGGUCACGCGAUACUGAUCGACUCGAAGGCAGGAGAGGGAAGUGGAAUUCCCGGUGUAGUGGUGAAAUGCGUAGAUAUCGGGAGGAACACCAGUGGCGAAAGCGGCUCCUGGUCCAGCACCGACGUCAGGCACGAAAGCGUGGGGAGCAAACAGG